CCUACGGGAGGCUGCAGUGGGGAAUAUUGCACAAUGGGCGCAAGCCUGAUGCAGCCAUGCCGCGUGUGUGAAGAAGGCCUUCGGGUUGUAAAGCACUUUCAGCGGGGAGGAAGGCGGUGAGGUUAAUAACCUCAUCGAUUGACGUUACCCGCAGAAGAAGCACCGGCUAACUCCGUGCCAGCAGCCGCGGUAAUACGGAGGGUGCAAGCGUUAAUCGGAAUUACUGGGCGUAAAGCGCACGCAGGCGGUCUGUCAAGUCGGAUGUGAAAUCCCCGGGCUCAACCUGGGAACUGCAUUCGAAACUGACAGGCUAGAGUCUUGUAGAGGGGGGUAGAAUUCCAGGUGUAGCGGUGAAAUGCGUAGAGAUCUGGAGGAAUACCGGUGGCGAAGGCGGCCCCCUGGACAAAGACUGACGCUCAGGUGCGAAAGCGUGGGGAGCAAACAGGAUUAGAUACCCUAGUAGUC
This 465-nucleotide ribosomal RNA is filed under the name uncultured Klebsiella sp. Its description in RNAcentral is "bacterial SSU rRNA". It matches the Rfam family "Bacterial small subunit ribosomal RNA", at positions 338 to 795 of the family's 1533-position model. Lineage: Bacteria; Pseudomonadati; Pseudomonadota; Gammaproteobacteria; Enterobacterales; Enterobacteriaceae. The record is from RNAcentral.